AUGCACUCUGGUAUCAUAUAUACUAAAAUUGGAACAAUACAAAGAAAAUUAACAUAGCCUCUGCACAAGGAUAACACACAAAUUUAUGUUGUUCCAUAUUUUU
This is a small nuclear RNA of Suncus etruscus (white-toothed pygmy shrew), 103 nucleotides long. The record is from RefSeq and is a predicted model, not a curated record. Lineage: Eukaryota; Metazoa; Chordata; Mammalia; Eulipotyphla; Soricidae.